This 72-nucleotide transfer RNA is filed under the name Roseomonas gilardii. Its description in RNAcentral is "tRNA-Val". It matches the Rfam family "tRNA". From Rfam's summary of the family: Transfer RNA (tRNA) molecules are approximately 80 nucleotides in length. Lineage: Bacteria; Pseudomonadati; Pseudomonadota; Alphaproteobacteria; Acetobacterales; Roseomonadaceae. The record is from RNAcentral.
GGGCGCUUAGCUCAGCGGUAGAGCGCCUCGCUUACACCGAGGAUGCCGGGGGUUCGAAUCCCUCAGCGCCCA